RNAcentral lists this ribosomal RNA (274 nucleotides) under uncultured bacterium. Its description in RNAcentral is "partial 16S ribosomal RNA". It matches the Rfam family "Bacterial small subunit ribosomal RNA", at positions 523 to 796 of the family's 1533-position model. The record is from RNAcentral.
AUACGGAGGGUGCGAGCGUUAAUCGGAAUUACUGGGCGUAAAGCAUACGUAGGCGGUUGGUUAAGUUAGAUGUGAAAGCCCCGGGCUUAACCUGGGAACUGCAUUUAAAACUGGCGAACUAGAGUUGAGUAGAGGGGAGUGGAAUUUCAGGUGUAGCGGUGAAAUGCGUAGAGAUCUGAAGGAACACCAGUGGCGAAGGCGACUCCCUGGACUCGAACUGACGCUGAGGUACGAAAGCGUGGGUAGCAAACGGGAUUAGAAACCCCUGUAGUCC